UACGUAGGUGGCAAGCGUUAUCCGGAAUUAUUGGGCGUAAAGGGUGCGUAGGUGGCAUGUUAAGUCUGGUGUAAAAGGCAAUAGCUCAACUAUUGUAUGCAUUGGAAACUGGCAAGCUAGAGUGUGUGAGAGGUAAGUGGAAUUCCAAGUGUAGCGGUGGAAUGCGUAGAUAUUUGGAGGAACACCAGUGGCGAAGGCGGCUUACUGGCACACAACUGACACUGAGGCACGACAGCGUGGGGAGCAAAUAGG
RNAcentral lists this ribosomal RNA (252 nucleotides) under uncultured bacterium. Its description in RNAcentral is "partial 16S ribosomal RNA". It matches the Rfam family "Bacterial small subunit ribosomal RNA", at positions 524 to 776 of the family's 1533-position model. The record is from RNAcentral.